GGCCUCGUAGUCCAGCUGGUAGAGCAUGCGCGUACAAAGCGUAGGCAGCGCCCAUGCGUGAGUUCGAAUCCCACCGAGGCCA
This 82-nucleotide transfer RNA is filed under the name Echinostoma caproni. It matches the Rfam family "tRNA". Rfam says of the family: Transfer RNA (tRNA) molecules are approximately 80 nucleotides in length. Their secondary structure includes four short double-helical elements and three loops (D, anti-codon, and T loops). Further hydrogen bonds mediate the characteristic L-shaped molecular structure. tRNAs have two regions of fundamental functional importance: the anti-codon, which is responsible for specific mRNA codon recognition, and the 3' end, to which the tRNAs corresponding amino acid is attached (by aminoacyl-tRNA synthetases). tRNAs cope with the degeneracy of the genetic code in two manners: having more than one tRNA (with a specific anti-codon) for a particular amino acid; and 'wobble' base-pairing, i.e. permitting non-standard base-pairing at the 3rd anti-codon position. The record is from Rfam by way of RNAcentral. Lineage: Eukaryota; Metazoa; Platyhelminthes; Trematoda; Plagiorchiida; Echinostomatidae.